This 461-nucleotide ribosomal RNA is filed under the name Coleosporium plumeriae. RNAcentral's name for it is "partial 28S ribosomal RNA". It matches the Rfam family "Eukaryotic large subunit ribosomal RNA", at positions 138 to 596 of the family's 3401-position model. The record is from RNAcentral. Lineage: Eukaryota; Fungi; Basidiomycota; Pucciniomycetes; Pucciniales; Coleosporiaceae.
CCGAGUUGUAAUUUUGAGAACUGUUUUCUGUGCUGGACCAUAUACAAGUCUGUUGGAAAACAGCAUCAUUGAGGGUGAUAAUCCCGUAGAUGAUAUGGACUACCAGUGCAAUAUGAUACAGUCUCUAAGAGUCGAGUUGUUUGGGAAUGCAGCUCAAAGAGGGUGGUAAAUUCCAUCUAAGGCUAAAUAUAGGUGAGAGACCGAUAGCAAACAAGUACCGUGAGGGAAAGAUGAAAAGAACUUUGGAAAGAGAGUUAACAGUACGUGAAAUUGUUAAAAGGGAAACAUUUGAAGUUAGACUUGUUAUUAUUGGUUCAGCUUCUCUUUUUUAAUUAGGAGUUUAUUCCAAUGGUUGACAGACCAGCAUCAAUUUUUGAGUGUUAGAUAAGGGUCUUGGAGAAUGUGGCAACUUUGGUUGUGUUAUAGCUCCUGGCUUGAUAUAAUGCUUAAGAUUGAGGAAC